RNAcentral lists this ribosomal RNA (393 nucleotides) under uncultured bacterium. RNAcentral's name for it is "partial 16S ribosomal RNA". It matches the Rfam family "Bacterial small subunit ribosomal RNA", at positions 523 to 918 of the family's 1533-position model. The record is from RNAcentral.
AUACGUAGGGGGCAAGCGUUAUCCGGAUUCAUUGGGCGUAAAGCGCGCGUAGGCGGUCUGUUAGGUCGGGAGUUAAAUUCCGGGGCUCAACCCCGGCCCGCUCCCGAUACCGGCAGACUUGAGUUUGGUAGGGGAAGGUGGAAUUCCCAGUGGAGCGGUGGAAUGCGCAGAUAUUGGGAAGAACACCGGUGGCGAAGGCGGCCUUCUGGGCCAUAACUGACGCUGAGGCGCGAAAGCUAGGGGAGCAAACAGGAUUAGAUACCCUGGUGGUCCUAGCCGUAAACGAUGGACACUAGGUGUGGGGGGAUGAACCUUCCGUGCCGCAGCUAACGCAUUAAGUGUCCCGCCUGGGGAGUACGGCCGCAAGGCUAGAACUCAAAGGAAUUGACGGGG